Molecule: ribosomal RNA, 446 nt
Filed under: uncultured bacterium
Lineage: Bacteria
Description: partial 16S ribosomal RNA
Rfam family: Bacterial small subunit ribosomal RNA
Source: RNAcentral
AGCGAACGCUGGCGGCAGGCUUAACACAUGCAAGGCGAACGCCCCGCAAGGGGAGUGGCAGACGGGUGAGUAACACGUGGGAACGUACCCUUUGGUUCGGAAUAACUUGGGGAAACUCAAGCUAAUACCGGAUAAGCCCUUAUGGGGAAAGGUUUACUGCCGAAGGAUCGGCCCGCGUCUGAGAGCUAGUUGGUGAGGUAAUGGCUCACCAAGGCGACGAUCAGUAGCUGGUCUGAGAGGAUGAUCAGCCACACUGAGACUGAGACGCGGCCCAGACUCCUACGGGAGGCAGCAGUGGGGAAUAUUGGACAAUGGGGGCAACCCUGAUCCAGCCAUGCCGCGUGAGUGAUGAAGGCCUUAGGGUUGUAAAGCUCUUUUACCCGGGACGAUAAUGACUGUACCGGGAGAAUAAGCCCCGGCUAACUUCGUGCCAGCAGCCGCAGUAA